CCAACGGCGCCACGGCGGCGACGAGAAGUGGCGAGCCCCGAGAGCGGGUUUAGUUAGAGGCUACGGGCGGUCGGGCGCGGCGGCGGCGGCGGCCAUGAGCAGCGGGAGCGAGAGCACUACCGCCAGCAGGUGGCCCGAGCUGGCCACGCUGCGCGCGCUGGCGCGCGACGCCGCGGAGCAGCUUCGGCUGCCGCGGGCCGGCACGUCGGCGUCGGCGUCGUCGCCGUGGCGCGGGCGCGAGGACCACCUCCACGGCCACGGCAAGACGGCCAAGGUGAUGCACCUGCUGCUCUGGGGACCCAAGUGAAGCGGCGAGAGGCCACCGUACCGCCGGGCUCUCCCGCUGGCGUUGCUCGUUUUGCUCUGCCUGCAAUCCGCCCCGCACGGACUGUACUGUACCUAUAUAUACACCUACAUACUACGACGUGCACCUGUACUACGACGUGCUGCUGUACCAUACUAAAUACUAGUGCGCUGCUGCUCCCUUGCCUUCUUGCUUGCACCAGCCACUCCGCUUUUUUGCUCGAACGAUCGACUGCUCGUGUCGCGUCGGGCCACGGCCGGUCGUCAGUUUGGGUGUGUCCACUCCACUGUAAAGCUCCUUUUUUGGGUACUCCCUGCAUGCCAAAGUUAGCGGACGUGUACUAGGUGUGGUUCGGAGCAGCAGGUUGUAUUACUUACCACCCCCUCUGUGAUGUAAGAACGCGUGCUGAAAUUAUCAUGUCGAUACCAAGUUAUGGCAUAUGGAUUGGAUAAGAAUGGGAAAAAAUAUGAUAGAUUUUGACUUACUAUAAAUUUAAACUCACUCAGA
This 811-nucleotide long non-coding RNA is filed under the name Zea mays. RNAcentral describes it as "long non-coding RNA (ZMAY_LNC002830)". The record is from RNAcentral. Lineage: Eukaryota; Viridiplantae; Streptophyta; Magnoliopsida; Poales; Poaceae.